UUGGUCCAAUACCAGUAAAGUACAAAUCUAGAAAUAGGAAAGUACAUUACUACUUACAUUUUCACUCUAGAACCUUCAGUUCUCAUCUUCUUUCCAAAAUUUCCAUCUAGUUUUCUCCGUUCAAUUUUUACAAUUCAGAAUUUAGAACAUGCAUGUUCUAGAAGAAAUUGAAAGAAUGCCUAUACAUGAUAUCUUUCUGCAAUAUGAUAGAAUAUCCUACACUCCUUGAAGCAGACAGGACCUAGAGCUCUUGAAUAGCAAAUGUGUAUCAUACGAACAGAGCCAAGUAAUAUGAAAGUGAAGGAGUAAUUUGAGAGCAACACCUGGUGGAAUUGCCUUCUGCGAGUAAAAUCAACAAUGCAAGAAGUGAGUGGUUUGAAAUUAGGUUCAUAAUGUAACCGUCUUUUGAAUUUGUCCAAAUAAUACCUUCUCGACACUGGCAACGAAGAAGAUGACAAUGACAAUGUCAGUCUCUGAAAUGCAUUUUGAUUCAGUUGUUGCUGCAAGGAUUUUGCUUUUGUGAUUAUAUUUAAAAGAGUGUUGGUUCAAUUGCUAUAAAUUUAUCCAUCUGCGACAAAUUGACACUGUAUUCAACAACACUGAUUCCUUUGUGAAGUUGCAUUGACCUAUGUUUUUCUGUUUA
Long non-coding RNA from Capsicum annuum, 643 nucleotides. RefSeq lists it as uncharacterized. The transcript is spliced from 2 exons. NCBI's taxonomy places the organism in Eukaryota, Viridiplantae, Streptophyta, Magnoliopsida, Solanales, Solanaceae. The record is from RefSeq and is a predicted model, not a curated record.